CUAGAUAGAUCGCGCCUCGUACAUUCUAAGGAAUGUGCAGAGCAAGGUCAAACUAAGAGCGAAAGCUCAAGCACUUAGCUUUAAGCGCCCACACUUAUCGGCUGUAUACAACAGUGAGUGAAAUCGCGUGCCUGUGGAGCUGGCCUCAACAAGCCUGGCGAUGAUGCAGAGCAACGCAAACAAGUUUUCGCGUGGGUCUGUAGCUCAGUCGGUUAGAGCACCGUCUUGAUAAGGCGGGGGUCGCUGGUUCGAAUCCAGCCAGACCCACCACGAGAGAUCGGGGGAUUAGCUCAGCUGGGAGAGCACCUGCUUUGCAAGCAGGGGGUCGUCGGUUCGAUCCCGUCAUCCUCCACCAGUUUCACUCAUUCAGUUGGUAAACCUUAGCGAAUAGCAAUGUUCGUUGAGGUUUACCAGCUCUUGAUCGAAAGAUCGGCUGUUGUUCUUUAACAAUUUGUAGAGUCGAAUCAGCGUUGUUAGCGGAAAGCGUCUCCUGACGCACCGUGCCGCUAACAACAUUUUGAUUGCGUCAAACAUAGACUUCAACUGAGCAAGAAAUUGUUUAGAUGAAGAACGGCGUAACGCGUGAAUACUCAAAAACAGUUUGGAUACUAAAUUUGAUUUAGAUCUGAAUUGAGUCCUUGACGACAGUGCAGUCAGCGCUGU
RNAcentral lists this transfer RNA (663 nucleotides) under uncultured Comamonadaceae bacterium. RNAcentral's name for it is "16S-23S ribosomal RNA intergenic spacer". The stretch from base 194 to 267 matches the Rfam family "tRNA". The record is from RNAcentral. Lineage: Bacteria; Pseudomonadati; Pseudomonadota; Betaproteobacteria; Burkholderiales; Comamonadaceae.